This is an RNA transcript of Enhydra lutris kenyoni (northern sea otter), 1312 nucleotides long. It is a transcript of the gene named leucine-rich repeat-containing protein 28 pseudogene, with no coding region annotated. The transcript has a single exon. The record is from RefSeq and is a predicted model, not a curated record. NCBI's taxonomy places the organism in Eukaryota, Metazoa, Chordata, Mammalia, Carnivora, Mustelidae.
UGUUCAGUCAUGGCAUCUGAACUCUGUAAGACGAUCUCUGUGGCAAGGCUGGAAAAGCACAAGAAUUUGUUCUUAAAUUAUAGGAAUCUGCACCAUUUUCCAUUGGAGUUACUGAAAGAUGAGGGACUACAGUACUUGGAGAGGCUCUAUGUGAAAAGGAACUCCCUUACAACCUUGCCAGAAGCUUCCAAACCUUGUGGAACUGUACCUUCACUCAAAUAACAUAGUUGUGGUUCCAGAAGCCAUUGGAUCCCUCGUAAAACUCCAGUGUUUGGAUCUUAGUGACAAUGCCUUAGAAAUUGUUUGCCCAGAAAUUGGUCGUCUGAGAGCUUUACAUCAUCUUCGAUUAGCUAAUAACCAAAUGCAAUUCCUACCUCCAGAGGUUGGCGAUUUGAAGGAGCUGCAGACACUAGACAUUUCUACCAAUCGUUUGCUAAAUUUACCCGAGAGGCUUCACCUGUGCCUUUCUCUGCAGUACCUCACCGCGGACCGCAAUCGUCUAUGGUGCGUGCCGCGUCAUCUCUGCCAGCUGCCCAGCCUCAACGAGCUCUCCAUGGCUGGAAACCGUCUCGCAUUUUUGCCACUUGAUCUAGAUUGAUCUCGAGAACUACAGUACGUGUACGUGGAUAACAACAUGCACCUGAAAGGCUUGCCAUCCUAUCUGUACAAUAAAGUCAUCGGGUGCAGUGGCUGUGGUGCUCCCAUUCAAGUUUCCGAGGUGAAGCUGCUUUCUUUCUCAUCGGGGCAGCUCACUGUGAUCCUCCCUGCCGAGGUGAAGGCCAUAGGGACAGAGAACGAUCACGUCCUGCCUCUGCAAGAGUUGGCCAUGAAGAGUCUCCAUCACACUUACCACAGUUUUCUUAAAGAUUUGAACUCUCUGUCUCCAAUCUCAUUACCCAGAAGUCUACUGGAGCUGCUGCACUGCCCCCUGGGGCACUGUCACCGGUGUAGUGAGCCCAUGUUUACGAUUGUCUACCCCAAGCUCUUUCCCUUGAGAGAGACGCCGAUGGCAGGGCUGCACCAGGGGAGGACAACAGUGAGCUUCGUGGCUUACUGCUGCUCUACCCAGUGUCUGCAGACUUUUGACCUACUGAGCUGAUAAACACCCGGAGCCCCAGGAGCCUUGCCAUCCUGACACCGCGGCUGCCUGCAGAUCGCACCCUGUUUGUGUCCAGCCUGGCGGAACAGGCCCUCACAUCCUGUCCUGUGCCAUGCUGGGGGGGAGCUGCCGAGCUCUCUAGAAAUGUCGUGAUGGAGCUUCCGAGCUGAAAUGCCUUCACCCUACCCCCCCACCCCACGUUGGAAUAUAUCG